GUGGGGAAUCUUAGACAAUGGGCGCAAGCCUGAUCUAGCCAUGCCGCGUGAGCGAUGAAGGCCUUAGGGUUGUAAAGCUCUUUCAGGGGGGAAGAUAAUGACGGUACCCCCAGAAGAAGCCCCGGCUAACUCCGUGCCAGCAGCCGCGGUAAUACGGAGGGGGCUAGCGUUGUUCGGAAUUACUGGGCGUAAAGCGCACGUAGGCGGACCAGAAAGUCAGGGGUGAAAUCCCGGGGCUCAACCCCGGAACUGCCUUUGAAACUCCUGGUCUUGAGGUCGAGGGAGGUGAGUGGAAUUCCGAGUGUAGAGGUGAAAUUCGUAGAUAUUCGGAGGAACACCAGUGGCGAAGGCGGCUCACUGGCUCGAUACUGACGCUGAGGUGCGAAAGCGUGGGGAGCAAACAGGAUUAGAUACCCGUGUAGUCC
This 425-nucleotide ribosomal RNA is filed under the name uncultured bacterium. RNAcentral's name for it is "bacterial SSU rRNA". It matches the Rfam family "Bacterial small subunit ribosomal RNA", at positions 354 to 796 of the family's 1533-position model. The record is from RNAcentral.